GACGAACGCUGGCGGCGUGCUUAACACAUGCAAGUCGAACGGAACGGUCCUGCUUUUGUGUGGUGCUCGAGUGGCGAACGGGUGAGUAACACGUGAGUAACCUGCCCUUUACCUUGGGAUAACUUCAGGAAACUGGGGCUAAUACCGGAUAGGAGCUCCUGCUGCAUUGUGUGGGUUGGAAAGUUUCGGUGGUUGGGGAUGGACUCGCGGCUUAUCAGCUUGUUGGUGGGGUAGUGGCUUACCAAGGCUUUGACGGGUAGCCGGCCUGAGAGGGUGACCGGGGACAUUGGGACUGAGGUACGGCGCAGAAUCCUACGGGCGGCAGCAGUCGAAAAUAUUACACAACGGGCGGAAGCCUGAUACAGCAACGCCGCGUGCGUGAUAACGGGCUUCGAGUUGUAAACCACUUUGUCCUGUGACGAAGCGUGAGUGACGGUAAUGAAUAAAGAAGCCCCGGCUAACUACGUG
This 468-nucleotide ribosomal RNA is filed under the name uncultured bacterium. RNAcentral describes it as "partial 16S ribosomal RNA". It matches the Rfam family "Bacterial small subunit ribosomal RNA", at positions 28 to 507 of the family's 1533-position model. The record is from RNAcentral.